RNAcentral lists this long non-coding RNA (667 nucleotides) under Homo sapiens (human). RNAcentral's name for it is "HSALNT0285299". The record is from RNAcentral. Lineage: Eukaryota; Metazoa; Chordata; Mammalia; Primates; Hominidae.
CAGAGUGAGACCUCAUCUCAAAAAAAGGGCUUAUGACAGCAGGUGCUUUCCCCUGCUUUUCUGCCAGGUGAAGACAUGGUGUUUCUCCCCUCUAGAGGAUGCAGCAUUCAAGUUGACAUCUUGGAAGCAGAGAGAACAGGCUCUAACCUGCUGGUGUCUUGAUAUUGAACUUCUCAGCCUCCAGAACUGUGAGAGAAUAUAUUUCUGUUCUUUAUAAAUUACCCAGUCUGUGUUAUUGCAGCACAAAAUGGACUAAGACAGCAGUUAAGGGAGAAAGGAGACAUGUAUGGCUGAUUUAGGCAUGCAUCUGCACAGUAGGCCAUCACUAGUUAGAAGUGGAUGGCCUUUGCACUACAAGCCCCUCUGGAUGGCUCUGAAAGACAGUGGAGAAAGAAUUUCCUUCCAGUGAGGUGAACUUCAGGAGCAUCCAGUUGUCCAUUUCAUGUGGAAGAAGAGAUGGCCUGAGGGCUUCUUCCCAGUCACCAUAAUUCAUAGAUUUAGAGAAUGAUUAGUCUAUGCAAGAGUAAACAAUUGUGAUGGUAAACUUUAUGUGUCAAGAAUGGAGCAAGAUGGCCAAAUAGUAGCCUCCGUGAAUCGUCCUCCUCCACAGGAACAGUAAAUUUUAACAACUAUCUGCACACAGAAAACCACCUUUAUAAGAACCAAA